GCCCUAGUGGUGUAACGGUUAAGCACUCUGCUGCUAACUGAAAGGUUGAUGGUUCCAACCCACCCUGUGGCU
Molecule: transfer RNA, 72 nt
Filed under: Loxodonta africana (African savanna elephant)
Lineage: Eukaryota; Metazoa; Chordata; Mammalia; Proboscidea; Elephantidae
Rfam family: tRNA
About the family: Transfer RNA (tRNA) molecules are approximately 80 nucleotides in length. Their secondary structure includes four short double-helical elements and three loops (D, anti-codon, and T loops). Further hydrogen bonds mediate the characteristic L-shaped molecular structure. tRNAs have two regions of fundamental functional importance: the anti-codon, which is responsible for specific mRNA codon recognition, and the 3' end, to which the tRNAs corresponding amino acid is attached (by aminoacyl-tRNA synthetases). tRNAs cope with the degeneracy of the genetic code in two manners: having more than one tRNA (with a specific anti-codon) for a particular amino acid; and 'wobble' base-pairing, i.e. permitting non-standard base-pairing at the 3rd anti-codon position.
Source: Rfam by way of RNAcentral